GACAUAAUUCAUUGAUAGCCACCUGCACUGCCGCAAAUGGGGUACAAGCUUUAAAAAUGGGGAUCCUGACAAGCCCGGUGCUUGCCUGUUGAGAUAGCCACAAAGGCACAUCCUCUUGUCAGUCUGGCAAGCGACGCUGCUCCACGCUCCUCUUCCUGCCGAGAAUGGCCAGUACCUCCAGAUUGAGACGUGACUGGUGACUGAGCUCUCGGGUGAGGAAUGCCAGCCCCCUGCAUGCAGACCGGACCAGCCCAGCUGCUAGACCCCAGAGGACAGCACCACUGGGAUCCCCAAUAAACCUGUACCAGCAGCACCAGGAAUUGUGAACUUGUCAAGAUUCUAAAAGCAAAGAAAGCUGCUCAAGAGAAAGUACUGAAUGCAAGUGGAGCCAA
Molecule: long non-coding RNA, 392 nt
Organism: Myotis myotis
Lineage: Eukaryota; Metazoa; Chordata; Mammalia; Chiroptera; Vespertilionidae
Exons: 2
Source: RefSeq, a predicted model, not a curated record